CAAGACCUCGCGCCUGAAGAGGAGCCCGCGCCCGAUUAGCUAGUCGGCGGGGUAAGAGCCCACCAAGGCUUCGAUCGGUAGCCGGCCUGAGAGGGCGGUCGGCCACACUGGCACUGAGACACGGGCCAGACUCCUACGGGAGGCAGCAGUGGGGAAUUUUGGGCAAUGGGCGAAAGCCUGACCCAGCAACGCCGCGUGAAGGACGAAAUCCCUCUGGGAUGUAAACUUCGAAAGUCGGGAAAGAAAUCGCGCAGGAUAAUACCCUGCGUGGAUGACGGUACCCGACGUAAGCCCCGGCUAACUACGUGCCAGCAGCCGCGGUAAUACGUAGGGGGCAAGCGUUGUUCGGAAUUAUUGGGCGUAAAGGGCGCGUAGGCGGCACAGCAAGUCGGGAGUGAAAGCCCGGGGCUCAACCCCGGAACUGCUUUCGAAACUGCUGAGCUAGAGUACAGAAGGGGCAACCGGAAUUCCCAGUGUAGCGGUGAAAUGCGUAGAUAUUGGGAAGAACACCUGAGGCGAAGGCGGGUUGCUGGGCUGAUACUGACGCUGAGGCGCGAAAGCCAGGGGAGCAAACGGGAUUAGAUACCCCGGUAGUCCUGGCCCUAAACGAUGGAUACUUGGUGUGUGGGGUUCUCUGAGUCCCCGCGUGCCGGAGCUAACGCGGUAAGUAUCCCGCCUGGGGAGUACGGUCG
This 692-nucleotide ribosomal RNA is filed under the name uncultured bacterium. RNAcentral's name for it is "bacterial SSU rRNA". It matches the Rfam family "Bacterial small subunit ribosomal RNA", at positions 202 to 888 of the family's 1533-position model. The record is from RNAcentral.